AGUUGAAACAUAUAUACAUACUCAAUAUUUGCUAAUAUUAAUGAUAAAACAUUUUUAAAUUUAGUAAAAGUGAUUAAAAUUUAAUAAAAUUAUGUGUAAUAUAUAAGUACUGAGAAGGAAAAGAUGAAAUUAAAAUAAAGAAAGAAGUAAAUUUUGUACCUUUUGUAUCAUGGUCUAACUAGAUUUAAAUUUUAUAUAAAAUUUCUCGAAAUCUAAUGAGCUAUCCUUUGGUCGUCAUUUUUUAGAAACUAAGAAUUGAUUGUGGCAAAAAUCUUUUUAGAACCCAGGAUAGAAAUGAAAUUUUAUUCGAAUUAGAUGAUAGCUAGUUCUUCAAUAAAUACAUAGAAGUGUUUAAACCUAAUUUUUUUUGAUAAUUAUAAAUUAUCAAAUAAAGUUUAGUUUUGUUAAAUCUUCGAGGAUAAGCUCGAAGAUAGAUUUUAAUGUCGACAUACCUCUUCAAAUUGAAAUUUAGGCUUGAAAAUAGCUAAUAUUCACGAGUUUGUUACAAUUUAUUAGAUUCCUAAGAAUAAGAUACAUUUGUUUUUAACUUAUUGAAGAUAACUUUUAAACUAUAAAAUAAACUAUAUUUAUGUUAGAAUGAGUAUUUACAAUCUUAUAUGAACUAAAUAAUAAUGUAUUACUAGAGUUAAAUCUUUAAUGUUAAGUUAUUAAAUCAUGAAAAGGAACUCGGCAAAAAUAUAUUCCGCCUGUUUAUCAAAAACAUCGCUCUCCGCCUAUCAAAAAUGGGGAGUCGGACCUGCCCGGUGAAAUUUUUUAACGGCCGCGGUACUCUGACCGUGCAAAGGUAGCAUAAUCAUUUGCCUUAUAAUUGAAGGCUAGUAUGAAUGGUUUGACGAGAAUAUUCCUGUCUCUUCAUGAUUUUUAAGAAAUUUAUCUUUAGGUGAAGAAGCCUGAAUAAUAUUAAAAGACAAGAAGACCCUAUCGAGCUUAAAAUAAAUUAGUAGAUUUACCUUAUAUAUUAAUAAAAAAUUAGCUGCUAAACAUUUUGGUUGGGGCGACUGAGGAACAGAAAAAGCUUCCUGUUAUUUGAAAAAUAUACAAAUACUGAUCCAGAAUUUUGCUGAUUAACGAAAUUAGUUACCGUAGGGAUAACAGCAUUAUCUUUUUUGAGAGCUCUAAUCGAAAAAAAGGUUUGUGACCUCGAUGUUGGACCAGAAUAUCCCGAAGAUGCAGCAGUCUUCAAAGGUUGGUCUGUUCGACCAUUAAAAUUCUACGUGAUCUGAGUUCAGACCGGCGUGAGCCAGGUCAGUUUCUAUCUUUAAUUCCUAAAAUAGACUUAGUACGAAAGGACCAGUCCAUUAUAAUAUUAUUAUACAAUAGGACAAAAUAUAAUAUAAAAUUUAAUUA
RNAcentral lists this ribosomal RNA (1368 nucleotides) under Amalda northlandica (Northland olive shell). RNAcentral's name for it is "16S ribosomal RNA". The stretch from base 653 to 1368 matches the Rfam family "Archaeal large subunit ribosomal RNA", at positions 1423 to 2837 of the family's 2987-position model. The record is from RNAcentral. Lineage: Eukaryota; Metazoa; Mollusca; Gastropoda; Neogastropoda; Olividae.